Long non-coding RNA from Marmota monax (woodchuck), 667 nucleotides. RefSeq lists it as uncharacterized. The transcript is spliced from 4 exons. The record is from RefSeq and is a predicted model, not a curated record. NCBI's taxonomy places the organism in Eukaryota, Metazoa, Chordata, Mammalia, Rodentia, Sciuridae.
UCUGGGUAUAACCACUGGUUGGCCUCUGCUGCAGGAUCACAGUCCUGGGGAGUGUCUGACAAGAAGGCCUUUGAUACCACACUGGAGUAAACUGUUCAAGAACUGUUUAUCUCCAUGAAUACAUGACCUCCAGGAUGCCACCAAGGUCAACAAGACCUACAGGAGGGGGAUAUGCUGAGUUGCAAACGUAUGGUCGUGGAAGACUAAAAAAGACAAACCAUUAGCCAAAGCACCGUUUAUUCCCAACCUGCAAGGUUCUGGCUGGUAGCAGUCUUCGAGUGACUUUGAUCUUCCUUCCUCUUUUACUAAGGAGGCCCCAGAAAGUAAGUUGGCUUCUUUAAGGUUUUCCUCAACUGCCCUUAGCAGAGUGAGCCCAGGACCAACUGCCCAGGGAGAAUAGUCAGACUUGGAUCUCAGAGGAUGCUUGGAUCUGUGGGGGAAAGCUGCUGUCCAACCAGAACAUCUGGAUCAUUUGGAUCAUUAAAUGGGCAACAAAUAACUGAAAAUAUGUGUGUGUGUGCACGCACACUCAUGCAUGUGUGAAAGUGUGUGUUUGGUAUAGAAUCAAACUUUCCUUGUGGAUUAGUUGGAAAAAUAAAUGACCAUAUUUGAAACCCAAAUCUGUGGAGUUGCUCAAACUUGUAACAAUAAAUUCUUUGUAAAGUGA